GAUGAACGCUGGCGGCGUGCCUAAUACAUGCAAGUCGAGCGAACAGAUGAGGAGCUUGCUCCUCUGACGUUAGCGGCGGACGGGUGAGUAACACGUGGAUAACCUACCUAUAAGACUGGGAUAACUUCGGGAAACCGGAGCUAAUACCGGAUAAUAUAUUGAACCGCAUGGUUCAAUAGUGAAAGACGGUUUUGCUGUCACUUAUAGAUGGAUCCGCGCCGCAUUAGCUAGUUGGUAAGGUAACGGCUUACCAAGGCAACGAUGCGUAGCCGACCUGAGAGGGGGAUCGGCCACACUGGAACUGAGAAACGGCCAAGCUCCCUACGGGAGGCAGCAGUAGGGAUUCUUCCGAAAUGGGCGAAAGCCUGACGGAGCAACGCGGCGUGAGUGAUGAAGGUCUUCGGAUCGUAAAACUCUGUUAUUAGGGAAGAACAAUGUGUAAGUAACUAUGCACGUCUUGACGGUACCUAAUCAGAAAGCCACGGCUAACUACGUG
This 496-nucleotide ribosomal RNA is filed under the name uncultured bacterium. RNAcentral's name for it is "partial 16S ribosomal RNA". It matches the Rfam family "Bacterial small subunit ribosomal RNA", at positions 28 to 507 of the family's 1533-position model. The record is from RNAcentral.